RNAcentral lists this ribosomal RNA (305 nucleotides) under uncultured bacterium. RNAcentral describes it as "bacterial SSU rRNA". It matches the Rfam family "Bacterial small subunit ribosomal RNA", at positions 338 to 659 of the family's 1533-position model. The record is from RNAcentral.
CCUACGGGGGGCAGCAGUCGGGAAUAUUGCGCAAUGGAGGAAACUCUGACGCAGUGACGCCGCGUAUAGGAAGAAGGUUUUCGGAUUGUAAACUAUUGUCGUUAGGGAAGAAAAAAGACAGUACCUAAGGAGGAAGCUCCGGCUAACUACGUGCCAGCAGCCGCGGUAAUACGUAGGGAGCAAGCGUUAUCCGGAAUUAUUGGGUGUAAAGGGUGCGUAGACGGGAGUCUAAGUUAGUUGUGAAAUCCCUCGGCUCAACUGAGGAACUGCAACUAAAACUGGACAUCUUGAGUGCAGGAGAGGAA